RNAcentral lists this ribosomal RNA (274 nucleotides) under uncultured bacterium. RNAcentral describes it as "partial 16S ribosomal RNA". It matches the Rfam family "Bacterial small subunit ribosomal RNA", at positions 524 to 796 of the family's 1533-position model. The record is from RNAcentral.
UACGAAUGGAGCGAGCGUUGUUCGGAAUCACUGGGCGUAAAGCGUGCGCAGGCGGUCGUGAAAGUUAGAAGUGAAAGCCCAGGGCUUAACCUUGGAAUUGCUUUUAAAACUCCACGACUAGAGUACUGGAGGGGUUGGCGGAAUUUCGAGUGUAGCAGUGAAAUGCGUAGAUAUUCGAAGGAACACCGAUGGCGUAGGCAGCCAACUGGACAGUUACUGACGCUCAGGCACGAAAGUAUGGGGAGCAAACAGGAUUAGAAACCCCUAGUAGUCC